GUUACCGUGGCCCGGGAGGCGGAACUGCUGCAUCCGGGUACUCGGGGACCUAUGCUGCGCGGUGAGGAGGCUUAUGUUCUCUUCAUUGAAAGCAGUAAGGUGAGGGAUCUUCUCGCGGCGGGGCAACUGGCUCGGGCCUCAUGCCGGGCCGGUGCAGGCAGGGUCAGGGUCAUUGCCUCCACCCCCUGGGAAGUUGUAGACUCGGGCUGAACCUUCCUGGACCCUUCGCGACUCCUUCCUGACCUGUGUCCAGAGGCUGGAGAGGGCGACCGCGUGGGGUUCCGUCAGGCUUCGGGACAGCGCCCUUCAGCGGAUGUCGCGUCAUCUCUGUCAAUGCAGUAUUAACUUAGAAAAGGUUGCUCGCGCCCACGUUUUCCCUACUAGAGUUUAAGAAAGAUGGAGACAGACAAUGGGAGAUACCCACAGUUGACCUAAAACCUGAGAAGUCAGAAUGACGUCCGAGAAGUCAGUUCCGAGGCUUGGUGUUGGGGAUUAAACAACUGUGACAUUUAUUUCCAGGAUUUGUAAAUAGAAUACAUCCAAACAUACUGACGGUUAAUAAAGCAUGACAAUUGCCUUAAAAUAACUUUUCAUUGAAUAAACUAAUCACAUCUGUAAAUAGAGCCAUUCUGUGAGCUCCUUUGCAAGUCAAGAGUGGCAGUUUUACAAAAGUUACUUUCUUUGGAGGGAGAUACAAAUUCACUUUUCCCUUGUUCAUCUUCACCCCACAUUCCCAAACAGGCAAAGAAAUGGAGGGAAUAAAAACCUUAUUACAGAAUCUGCACCCACCCACGCGAUCUGCCUUGGCAUUGUCCACAGUAUCAUAAACAUCUCCAAGGCAGCAUCACGAUGGAAAUCAUUCUUAAGGAAAUGUUUAGAAACAUUUUUCUAAAUGGCAUCACAAGUAAACCGAGAAGACACAGUGCCCAUCUGCCAGGAACUUUUGCUGAAAGUUGUCAUGAAGCUGUGUGAGUGGAUGGAAAAAUUAAAUGAGUUUCAGAUUUGACAAGUGUAAAAAGGAUGUGUUCGGGGAAAUAAUGUGAAACCUUACAUAUAAGAUGAUGGCAUCUUAAGCUUUUGGUUAUUGAAAAGGACAGGGGUGUAGGAGUCUCUGUAAAUGAUUCAAAAUAUCAGUCAAAUGUGUGCCCAAAAUAAGGGGACCAGAAAAAUCCUAGAUGUUAACAGUAAGAAUAUUGGAAACGCAAUGGAAAGCAUUACCUUGCCCUUGAGCAUAAUAUUAGUAUGUUUGUAUCUAGAAUAUGUGUAGUCUACCUGAGUUAAAGUCUGCAAAGAAUGUCAGUGUUUCUUUAUUUUUCUAAGCAAUAUAGUAUUUUCUGAUCAUCUAUCCCCUCACUUGAUUCAAAAUCCAGUUUUGGUUAUCAGUAAAGCAUCUUGCAGAGACUUUGUAGGCUAAUGCAGGCAGAAAUGACAUCUCUUGACAAUAGCACAUCUUGCCAUCCAAGAAUGUGACACUUUAAUACAUUUGUUUAAAAAUUUUUAGGUCCUUCAUUGUGGUAGGCAGAUGAAUAGCCCCCAAAGAUGUCCACACCCUAUUUCCCAGAACUUGUGAAUUGGUUACCUUACAAAAGGAUUUUUGCAGAUGUGAUUAAAACUAAGGACCUGGUGAUGACAUUAUCCUGAAUUACAUACAGGGCUGGGCGAAGUCAGCCCAAUCCAAUCACAGGAAAGAUUCAAAGCCUGAGGAUGCCACACCCUUUUGCUGCAUCUGAAAUGUUGAGGGCUAUCUGCAAGGUCCUGAGAAGCCUCUAGGAGCUAAGGUCGGCUCCUAGCUGACUGUCACCAAGGUAACAGAGGUCUCAGUCCCACAACCUCAUGGAAUUGAAUUCUGCCAACACCUGAAUGAGCAGGGUGUUGGAGAUUUUCCCCUGGUCUCCAAAAGGAACAUAGCCCUGCUGACAUCUUGACUUUUGCCCGGUGAGACUUCUCACCUCCAGAACUGUAAGAUAAUAAACUUGGUUUGAUCUAAGCCACUGAGCCUGUGGUUAUUUGUUACUGAAGCAAUAGAAAACUAAUACUUCCACUGAAAUUUUAUAGCUUUUUUCAUCCACAUCUUGCUCUUGUCUUGCUAGGUAUAUUCUGAAAUAUUUUAAUGGUAUUUGCAGAUUGUGAAUAGAAUCCUUUUUUUACAGGUUCAUUUUGUUUCAUGUACAUAACACCUAACCAAAUUUUUACACCCAAUAUGAAAGAUUUUUUUCACUUGAUAGGUAAAUUCAACUCAUUUACACUUAUUAGAGUAGCUGCAAUAUGACAUCACUUCAGUAGUGUAUCUUAUUUAUUUUACUUUGCUUUUUUUUCUCACUUUUUCCCAUUUUAUUUUGCCAGCCUGAUCAAAUUUCUUCUUUUUCCUCCCUCCCACUAUUCAUUUAGAGGUUCUGCAUGCCAUUACUGGUUUCCUGGCUACCUUUUUUUUUUUUUUAAAUCUCUACCAAACAUUUAAACCUGUUCCUCCUCCCCUCCUGUCUCCUUCCACAAAUAUUUAUAGAAUGUCUAUUGUAUUAGAUGCAGUUAGGUAGGUUAAGAAAAAUUUAGUGGCUCUCCUACUAAAAUUAAAUUUUUUUCAUUAUUUAAAAAAAAAUUUUUUUUAAUGUGUAUUUACUUUUGAGAGAGAGAGAGCACCAGCUGGGAGGGUGAGAGAGAGAAGGAGACACAGAAUCUGAAGCAGGCUCCAGGCUCUCAGCUGUCAGCACAGACACGACACGGGGCUUGAAGUCACAAUGUGAGAUCAUGACCUGAGCCACAGUCGGACGCUUGACCAAUCACGUGGUAUCCAGUUUUUCCACCACUGAAAACUACGCCUUGGAACCAAUGUUGGAUUCUGAAAACAGCAGUGGUAGCAGAGCUCCUCUGAAUCCUCCUACUCCAUGCUUUUAAGGUCAACAGAGCUAUGUUCAGGAUACAGCCUGGAGCAGCUGAUUGCAAUGAAGACCCCAGCCCUAUCUGAGGAGUCACUUCCAAGAUACAUGACAUCGUAGCUCAGGUGUAAACUCAGCUCUCUCCGACCAAGAGGAUCAGAGGAGCUUUCAACCAAGGAGGCUCAUCUAAAGAGUGAGCUGCAAAGAGGAAAAAGUGCAGAGUGAUUGUGACACAGAAGAAGACCUAUCCAUUGACCUUACAUCACAGACGAGUUGACAUCAGACAUCUCUGUUGUUAGAGCUGCUGUAGAAUGGUUGCGAAUAGUCACCAGUGCAGCAUUCAAGGUAAGUAACAUGAAGAUCAAUAAACUCCAGUCUGAUGUGACAUUCCUUCUAGUAUGUCCCAAGGAACUCCUGCCAUUGGUUCAGCCAUCACCCAUGUGGGCUCAUGCCUCCACUGCCUACAAUUACUGAGCCGCGCUAUGGCUGAGCUGUUACUCCUACAGCUCCUCCUGAUGACUAUGUCUCAGGUUGGUAGCUCUGGCCUGGAAAUAUCACACUUAUAAUGCUGUUUAAGAGGCACCCCUCGAUAUAUCCAGCUUAUAUCUGUUUCCUGCCAUGAAGACUUACCACAUGAGGAUGUUAUCUGUGACAUCACCACGGAAGCUUCUGCCUCUGUCCCCAUAGCAGCCGCCAUAGAGAGGUGUUAGGGAUUCUGUACUGUCAUUUGGCUUUGAAGAAGCCAGGAAAGCAAGCGACCAGCACACAGAUCCAGAUGUGUAUCUGCCAAUAUCAUUCCCAAUAACCCACAAAGGUGCAAUUACUAGUGGUGUUAUUACAGUAUAAGGACUGAUGGGUGCCUCUGCCUAGCUAAGAAUGUAACAUUUGUGUCCAUGCCUAAUGGCCGCCUAUAUCACUCAUUUGAGAGUUACUCCAUUCCACACAGCAAUAUAACUCUUCAGUGCACACCUUGCUCACAAGGGUGCUGCUACUUAAUCAGACAAGCUGUCUCAGCCAUUCUCCCCUGAAUGUCAGAGGAACCAUAAUUAACCAUAUGUGGAUUAUGUUACAUGACCUUCACAAGGAAUUUGACUUCAAUAAUGGCACAUCAUGGGAGGCAAAUUAACUAGAGAAUGUCAACUGGUCCAGAAUGGAAAGAGGCAAAGUACUGCACAAGGCUACACUACCCAUGCUGUAAAAGACUUCCUUUUCGAAGGUUACAUAUCACGCAGUCUACUGUAUACCUGCUCCCCCAAGUCCUUUCACAGCCUUUACGUGACCAUGCUCGAUUUUUGCGACCUUGGCUCAACAACCAAUCCCAGCUACUGUCUCAGGAGACUCAGCACUUGUCUGGCCCUGUGUAAAGAUGAACUAUUCUGUCUUCAACCCAACAACAACUGACCUUUACUUCAAGGUACAAUGCAGUGAAGCCAUGAUGCUCUACCAGUGGAACAGGAUCUUUUACAGCGCUUUGCCUUCCAGAGACAAAGGAUGACACAUAUCAAGCAGUCUGGCCAAUAAAACACAUGUUCUUGGAGUAGUCACCCCAGCCAUUGCCCCCGUUUUCAACAACCAUUUCAUCAAAGCACAUUAAUGGUGCAGAGUCCAAUGCGGGGUUGAACUCAGGACCCUGAGAUCAAGACCUGAACUGAGAUGCUGAGAUCAAGAGUCAGAUGCUCAACUGACUGAGCCAUCCAGUCGCCCCUCUAUUGUUUAAAACUGAAAUACAGUUUUAUUUUAUGGAUUUUUUUCCUCAUAUAGUACAUAAAAUAAUGAAUUUGAUGCCACUCCCCAAAACAUGGGGGGGGUGUACCUUCCUUAUUAUCCUUCACAUUCUAAAGUGAUUAAUAUCUUCACUCAUGGUGAUUGAUUUCAGACUAGGUAGUGUAAACAACAGAAAUUUAUUUUCUUCCACAGCUUUGGAGGCUGGAAUUUCAAGUGCAAGGUGCUGGCAGGGUUAGUUUCUGGUGAGGCCUCUCUUUCCUAGCUUGUAGAUGGUUAGCUUGUCACUGCGUGCUCACGUGGCCUUUUCUGUGAGCAUGUGUGCCCCGGGUGUCUCUUCCUCUUCUUAUAAGGACACCAAGUCCUAUUGGAUGGGGGCCCCACACAUGUGACCUCAUUGAACCUUAAUGACUCCUUUAAAGGUCUUAUCUUCAAAUAUUCAGGUUGGGGCUCCAACAUAUGAAUUGGGAGAGGGGGACACAAUUUAGUCCAUAACGGAUUUGGUAGAUAAUUUUAAUUUGUGGUUAUUGUCUUUGUAUAUAAACUUUCUCAGUAUUUCUCUGCCUUUCAAAUACGCUAUCAUAAAGACUGAGAAAAUGUGGUUCCUUAUUUCCCACAUUGCCAUUCCAUCCCAGUUUAUUAUAAUAAAGAUAGGUCUAUUCAGUGCUCAGUGUAUUCCAGGAACUGCCCCAGAUUCUGGGACAUAUCCAUGAAAGAACCAAUGCCCCUGUUCUUAGCUCAUAAUGUGACCAGACCUUUAGAAAUUCAGAAAAUUGCUACCUUCAAAGACAUCUAGCAGUUCAGGAGUCCCAGAUUGUGAACUUUUUAAAUUAUUUUUUUAAUGUUUAUUUGGCGGGGGGGGGGGGGGGGGAGACAAAGAGAGAGGGAGACAGAAUCCAAAGCAGGCUCCAGGCUCUGAGCUGUCAGCACAGAGCGUGACAUGGGGCUCGUACUUACAAACAGCAAGAUCAUGACCUUAGCCAAAGCUGGACGCUUACCCGACUGAGCCACCCAGGCACCCCUGAGCUACCUUAUUUAACAACUCAACUUGCUUGUUUAAAAAAAAAAAAGUAUUUUAUUCAUUAAUUAACUUACUCAGCCAAUGUUUAUUGAGUGUUAACUUUGAGCCUAAGGUAUAGCAAUAAACAAAUUGGAUAAAGUAUCUGGUGUGAUGAAACUUGUAUUUUCAUGGAAGAGACAGACAAUAAGCAAAUAAAGAAUAUAAUGUCAGGUAGUGAUAAGUAUUUUGAAACAAAGCGAAGGUGAAAAGAUGACUUGUGGGGGAGACUGCUCUGCAAGAUAGGGUGUGAGGACUGCCUCUCUUAACAGGAAACAUCUGAGCAGAGACUUGAAAGGAGUGAAGGAGCUCACUGUGCGUGGGGGAUGAACGUUCCCAGUAGAGAGGCCAAGUGCAAAGACUCUAGGGCAGGAGCACGGGGUAUUUCAGGGUCUGCAGCCAGUGCAACUGAGCCAGGGGGUAAAGUAGUUAAGUGAUGGUACUGCUGAGGUGGCCAGGAGCUAGCGCAUGAAUGCUCUUGUAGGAUUUUAUUCUCCAAGACGAGAAGCCAUUGAAGCAUUGGAGAACAGAAGUCGUAGAAUCUGACUUAUAUUUUAAAGCCUCUCUGGCUGCUCUAUGGAGAAAAGAUGGGGGAGUGGAGGCCUAAGAUAAAGCAGGGAGACCACUGAGUGGUUAGAGUGAGAAAUGAUGGUGGCUUGCACUAAAAUGAUAGCAUGGAGGUGGUGUGUGUGUGUGUGCAUGCGCAUUUAAGGUAAUCACAGCAGGUGUUACUAUAACUGGUAAUUUUUUUUAACGUUUAUUUAUUUUUGAGAGACAGAGCAUGAGCGGGGGAGGGACAGAGAGAGAGGGAGUCACAAAUUCCAAAGCAGGCUCCAGGCUCUGAGGUGUCAGCACAGAGCCUGACGCAGGGCUUGAACUCACAGACUGCGAGAUCAUGACCUGAGGCAAAGUUGGACGCUUAGCCAACUGAGCCACCCAGGCGCCCCCUGAUUGGUAAUUUUUAAUCACAAAAUGUUACACAUAAGAAAUCAUCAACACCUACAAUAUUCAUGACCGGUACUCCUCAAACCUGUCCAUCAAAAACAAGGGAAGUCUGAGAAACUGUCACAGCUACUACAUAUUAACCUUAUUCUUAGGGCAUUU
Acinonyx jubatus (cheetah) is the source of this 6756-nucleotide long non-coding RNA. RefSeq lists it as uncharacterized. The transcript is spliced from 3 exons. The record is from RefSeq and is a predicted model, not a curated record. NCBI's taxonomy places the organism in Eukaryota, Metazoa, Chordata, Mammalia, Carnivora, Felidae.